RNAcentral lists this ribosomal RNA (253 nucleotides) under uncultured bacterium. Its description in RNAcentral is "partial 16S ribosomal RNA". It matches the Rfam family "Bacterial small subunit ribosomal RNA", at positions 524 to 776 of the family's 1533-position model. The record is from RNAcentral.
UACAGAGGGGGCAAGCGUUGUUCGGAAUUACUGGGCGUAAAGGGCGCGUAGGCGGCCCGCUAAGUCGAACGUGAAAUCCCUGGGCUCGACCCAGGAACUGCGUCCGAUACUGGUGGGCUUGAAUCCGGGAGAGGGAUGUGGAAUUCUCGGUGUAGCAGUGAAAUGCGUAGAUAUCGAGAGGAACACCAGUGGCGAAGGCGAGUCUCUGGACAUUUCCUGACGCUGAGGCACGAAAGCCAGGGGAGCAAACGGG